This 235-nucleotide ribosomal RNA is filed under the name uncultured bacterium. Its description in RNAcentral is "partial 16S ribosomal RNA". It matches the Rfam family "Bacterial small subunit ribosomal RNA", at positions 335 to 587 of the family's 1533-position model. The record is from RNAcentral.
AUCCCUACGGGGGGCAGCAGUGGGGAAUAUUGCACAAUGGGGGAAACCCUGAUGCAGCGACGCCGCGUGAGUGAAGAAGUAUUUCGGUAUGUAAAGCUCUAUCAGCAGGGAAGAUAAUGACGGUACCUGAGUAAGAAGCCACGGCUAACUACGUGCCAGCAGCCGCGGUAAUACGUAGGUGGCAAGCGUUAUCCGGAUUUACUGGGUGUAAAGGGCGUGUAGGCGGGGAAGCAAG